RNAcentral lists this ribosomal RNA (541 nucleotides) under uncultured Gallionellaceae bacterium. RNAcentral describes it as "bacterial SSU rRNA". It matches the Rfam family "Bacterial small subunit ribosomal RNA", at positions 135 to 671 of the family's 1533-position model. Lineage: Bacteria; Pseudomonadati; Pseudomonadota; Betaproteobacteria; Nitrosomonadales; Gallionellaceae. The record is from RNAcentral.
AGUGGGGGAUAACGUAGCGAAAGUUACGCUAAUACCGCAUAUGCCCUGAGGGGGAAAGGUGGGGAUCGCAAGACCUAUCGCUUUCGGAGUGGCCGAUAUCAGAUUAGCUAGUUGGUGAGGUAAAGGCUCACCAAGGCGACGAUCUGUAGCUGGUCUGAGAGGACGACCAGCCACACUGGGACUGAGACACGGCCCAGACUCCUACGGGAGGCAGCAGUGGGGAAUUUUGGACAAUGGGGGCAACCCUGAUCCAGCCAUGCCGCGUGAGUGAAGAAGGCCUUCGGGUUGUAAAGCUCUUUCGGACAGAAAGAAAUCGCACUUACUAAUACUAGGUGUGGAUGACGGUACUGUAAGAAGAAGCACCGGCUAACUACGUGCCAGCAGCCGCGGUAAUACGUAGGGUGCGAGCGUUAAUCGGAAUUACUGGGCGUAAAGCGUGCGCAGGCGGUUUUGUAAGACAGGUGUGAAAUCCCCGGGCUUAACCUGGGAACUGCAUUUGUGACUGCAAGGCUAGAGUAUGGCAGAGGGGGGUAGAAUUCCA